Small nuclear RNA from Ursus americanus (American black bear), 108 nucleotides. The record is from Ensembl. Lineage: Eukaryota; Metazoa; Chordata; Mammalia; Carnivora; Ursidae.
AUGCUUGCUCUGGGAGCACAUAUACUAAAAUUGGAAAAAAUACAGGCAAGAUUAGUAUGGUCCCUGCACAAGGAGGACACACAAAUUUGUGAAGCAUUCCAUUUUUAA